Molecule: long non-coding RNA, 9108 nt
Filed under: Solanum tuberosum (potato)
Lineage: Eukaryota; Viridiplantae; Streptophyta; Magnoliopsida; Solanales; Solanaceae
Description: long non-coding RNA (STUB_LNC000294)
Source: RNAcentral
AAUGCCCUCAAAGGAAGUAACAUUGAAAUAGUUCUUGAUGUCCCAAAUCAAGAUCUUGAAGCCCUAGCCAAUCCUUCAAGUGCCAAUGGUUGGGUUCAAAAUAAUAUAAUAAGUCAUUUCCCAGAUGUUAAAUUCAAAUAUAUAGUCGUUGAAAAUGAAGUUGAUCCUGGUAGAGAUAGUGGUAAAUAUGCACGAUUUGUUGGUCCAGCAAUGGAAAAUAUUUACAAUGCGUUAUCAUCAGCAGGGUUGCAAAAUCAAAUCAAGGUCUCAACAUCGACAUAUUCAGGGCUCUUAACCAACACCUACCCACCAAGUGCUAGUAUUUUUCGCGAAGAAUACAAAAGCUUCAUUAAUCCCAUAAUCCAAUUUCUAAUACAAAAAAAACUUCCACUCUUAGUCAAUAUUUACCCUUAUUUUGGCCAUAUUUAUAACACUAACGUUCCUCUUUCUUAUGCACUUUUCAACGAUCAAGUGACUAAUUUCGCGGGAUAUCAAAAUCUUUUCGAUGCCCUUUUGGAUUCAAUGUAUUUUGCUAUGGAGAAACUUUUGGAUACAAUAUUGAAAUUAUUGUAUCGGAAAGUGGUUGGCUUCUGAGGGACACCCUGCAGCAACUUUGAAAAAUGAGAGGACUUAUUAUACGAAUUUGAUUAAUCAUGUGAAAAGAGGGGCUGGAACACCAAAGAAACCUGGAAGGACCAUAGAAACUUAUUUAUUCGCCAUGUUUGAUGAAAAUGAAAAGAUGGGAGAUGAAAGUGAGAAACAUUUUGGACUCUUUUAUCCUGAUCAGAGGCCAAAGUAUCAACUCAAUUUUAAUUAAUGAUAGCAUAUUAUAAUUAUAUAUGAAUAAUAAGGAGAAAUGGUAUGUUUUUAUCUUUCAAUAAAUGAUGGUAUAUUUAAUUAAUAUGUAGUGAGAAAAUGUAUGGCCUCUUUUGUGUUCCUUGAUAUCAAAAUUAAUAUUAAGUAUUUUAAUUGAAAGGGUGUGUCUUUUAUUCUUUGGUUAUAACCAUCAAUUUUAUUUAAAUCCAACUAUGGAAAAUUGCAACGUAACUUUAACAGAGUAUCUUACUCUAUAAUAUUCCUCAAAGAAUUCUUUUAUUCUCCAGAAAGAUCAAGUUUAUAUUUUCAAAACUUCAUCUUUGUGUUCAUAUAAAUUUUGUGUUCUUGGUAUAUAUUUAUCAACUCUCUGUUUCAAUUUAUUUGUCUGAUUUUGAUUUUGAUUUCACAUGAAGUUUAAGAAAGUAAAGAAAACUUUUCAAUUUUGUUAAUUAAAGGUAUGUAGAUACCAACAUGUCCUUUAAUUUUGUGAUCUUAAACAUGUUAUAUGGAAAGUUAAAAUUAAAGAGUUGUCAAAAAAGGAAAGAAACACCCAAAAAGUACCAGGACGGGGUCACCGGGUUCACGUGAACCCAUGCUCCCCUCCUGAAAUCAUAUAUAGUAGUAUUAUAUAUUUUUUUAAAUAUUUAAAUAUAUAUAUGUGAACUCAUAGUUGAAGUAUCAUACCGUGCGCUUAUGAUUGGGUGCACCUCUCUAAGUGAUGUUGGAAAUUUUAAUCUUUUAUUUAUGUCGUAUUAUUUUCCUUUCUAAAAUUGGGUAACGCCUCUCUAAGUGGUUUGGAUAGGUAAAAAUAAUUUUGGACCUAUAAUUUUAAAAUUUUAAUUAUUUUUAGUGAUAAGAACCUAAAUGUUAAACCGAUCAAAUUUAUAUCUAUAUUCCAUCUUUACGUAAUAGUGCACUUAUCAUCUCAAAAUCCUGGAUACGCGCUUUCAAUCUUUUAUUUCUUUUUAAAUGGACUAAAAAUAAAAUAAAUAAAUUGAAAGAAGUGGAGUAUAAAUAUAUUUUCUUAACGAUGAUAGUUAUAUUAGACAUGCAAAAUUGCUCAAUUUCACUUGAUAUAAAAUAAUUUGACCUUUUCCUUGUAUUGAAUGGAAUAAGCCAUUAUUCUCGUAUCGUAAAAUUCAUUCACUCCAUCACAUUAGUAAAUUUGAACUUUCUACAUAUGUUCAGAAUUUGAGGACGAUGGGUGCACUAUUAAAUGUGAAUGCGUGUUAUGUUAAAUUUUGACACCUCGAUAAAUUUUUUUGUCAAACAAGUAUAAAAUCAAAGGUAUCAGUUAAUAUAAAUUAAACAAAAAUGUAAUAUCGUUCAAUGGGUGAUUUGAUGAUCUCGACCCUCAAUGUAUUUGAGGUUGCUAGUUCGAGUCUGACUUGACUUUUUUACAUGUGGCAUUGGACUAGUGCACCAAAUGAGCUUUUAUGUUUAAGAGUGCACAAUUAAAUCUAUGGUCGUUGUUUAGGUAUACACAUAAGUGUUUUCGAAGUUAACGGAUGCAAGUGCAUCCCCUUUCUCAAACGUGGAUCUAUUUAUGGUUGAACAUCCUGACAACUCCCUAGAUCCGUCCCUGUUGACAAGGUAACUUGUUUUGCUUCUAGAUUGUCGUCACUAAUUUCUUUCAAGAUAGAUUCAAAAUUUGUAAUUUAUGAGUGUUUACAAUAAUCACAAAUUCUAUAUAUAUACAAUAACUAUGGGGUUCACAAAAAAAUAAAUCAUAUAUACUUACUAAAUUUCUUACAAUUAAAUGAGUAGACUUCACAUGUACAUUUUCUAUGAGAAGAAAAAGUACAAGUUUACCCUUAAACUAUUGAGUAUAGUUUAAAAUCAACCAUUUUUUUCUCAUUUUUUUUCCAUCACCUACUCUAGAUUGGAAAUUUCUUCAUCCCCAUUAGAUACGUUUAUAUGACUUGAUUAUUCUACAUGACUAAAUUUUACUAUUAAUUGAACUUCUUAGGGUAAACUUGACUUAGUUUUUUUUUUCCACACUACAUUUCUUAUUUUUGUCUAUAUAAGAAAUAAUUUGAUGUUUCCUUAACACACAAUUUCACCUCAAAUAUUUCUUACUCUUCGCAAUUCCAAUUUUGCUAUGUCUUUUCUAAGUUUUGUUGGAGCUUCCUUUUUACUUGUUGGGCUGUUAAUCCAAAUGACAGGUCUCUCUCUCUCUCUCUCUAACAUACACACUAGUAAUGUAUUUUUACACUAUAUAUUAACAAUAACAUAUUACAAUAUCGUAGCAGAUUAUCUAUCUUAUUUACUAGGCUAUUGAUCUCAGUUACUAUAAAUAGUUAGGGGUAUUUAAUUCUAGAUGACUUGAUAGUAUAAAAAUUCUUUCGAUGUUGGUGUAAAUGAGUUAAAAAAUUCUAGUUAAAAAGCACUUCAUAUUUUUUUUAAAUUAGGAGGGUCCUAUUGGUGAGGACAUAAAGGAUGAUAAAUCUACGUAACUAAGCAAACAUAACUACUAUAUGUAUUAAUCAAGCAAUACUUUUAAAAAGUAUCUAACUAUACUCGAGAUUUUAUGGCAAAUUUCUCCUCUCUCUUCCUCUCUCGCUUGACACUCUCCUCCCUCUUUCUCCCUUCCCCUUUCCUCUCACAUUUCCUUCUUGCCCUCUCUCUUUCACACUUAUAAUUCAUUGCGUGAAUCUUUCUUCUUAUCCUUCUAUCGUUCUCAUAUCAAUACAAAAUUCCAUUAAAGCGCUACAUGAAUUAUUGAUUUUUUUAUAUAUGUGCUUCUUGAUCUUCAAUAUUUUCUAGGUGGCUGCUAAUUGUUGAUUCAUUUUUAUUGGAUUAAUGCUGGUAUAUAAAAAAUUCCCGGGUUCUUGAUUUGUUGUUCACUGUUUGAAUAUUCUAUAUUGAUACAAUCAAUUGUAUAUGUAUCAGAAAAAUGAUACAGUUAUUAUCAAAGUGUAUCUUCUUCGAUUGAUACAACCAAUUGUAUAUAUGUAUCAAAUUUUUUUUGAUAAAGUUAUUAUCAAAAUAUAUUUUCUUUGAUUGAUACAUAUUGAUACAUCCAAUUGUAUCUAUGUAUCAGAAAAAUUAUAAAAAUUGAUAUAACUAUUAUCUGAAUAGAUUUGUGUGUAGAAAAAUCGGAUACAACUAUUAUAGGAAAGUACUGUAUCUCUGUAUAUUUAUUUUAGGGCUGAUGUUUCAAUUUCAAAACUAAUAUGUGCAUUUGUGUAGUUGUGUGCGAGAUUGAGAAAGGAGAGGUGAGAGCAAGAUUUGUGUGUGAGAGAGAUAGAGAAAGAGAGGAGAUUGUGUAUCUCAAUUUCAAUUAAGAAACAAAUUGUUUCUAAGAUACAAUAUGCUCGCCUCUCUCCUCCAUCUCUCCCAAUCUCACUCGUCUCUCUUUCAUCUCUAAAUUUGUUGUUAUGAAUUGUGAUUAGAUAAACUACACCUAUUAUUUAUAAUUAUAGUCCGAACUAUAACUAUUUGUCAUUAUAAUGUAGGAGCACAAUCUAUUGGAGUAUGCUAUGGAAAAAUUGCCAACAAUUUACCAUCAGAUCAAGAUGUCAAAAACCUAUACAAUUCUAAUGGCAUUAAAAAGAUGAGAAUUUACUAUCCAGACACAAAUGUCUUCAAUGCUCUCAAAGGAAGUGACAUUGAAAUAAUUCUUGAUGUCCCAAAUCAAGAUCUUGAAGCCCUAGCCAAUCCUUCAAGUGCCAAUGGUUGGGUUCAAGAUAAUAUAAUAAGUAAUUUUCCAGAUGUUAAAUUCAAAUAUAUAGCCGUUGGAAAUGAAGUUGAUCCUGUUAAAUUCAAAUAUAUAGCCGUUGGAAAUGAAAUUGAUCCCGAUACAAAUACCGGUCAAUAUACACAAUAUGUUGGUCCAGCAAUGGAAAAUGUUUACAACGCAUUAACAUCAGCAGGAUUGCAAGAUCAAAUCAAUGUCUCAACCGCGACAUAUUUAGGACUAUUAACAAACACCUACCCACCAAGUGAUAGUAUUUUUCGCGAAGAAUACAAAAGCUUCAUUAAUCCCAUAAUCGAAUUUCUAGCACGAAAUAACCUCCCACUCUUAGCCAAUAUUUACCCUUAUUUUGGCCAUAUUGAUAACACUAACGACGUUCCUCUUUCUUAUGCACUUUUCAACGAUCAAGGGACUAAUUCUGCGGGAUAUCAAAAUCUUUUUGAUGCCCUUUUGGAUUCAAUGUAUUUUGCUACGGAGAAACUUGGAGGACAAAAUAUUGAGAUCAUUGUAUCGGAAAGUGGUUGGCCUUCUGAAGGACACCCUGCAAUAACUUUGGAAAAUGCACAAACUUAUUAUACGAAUUUGAUUAAUCAUGUGAAAGGAGGGGUUGGAACACCAAAGAAACCAGGAAGGGCAAUAGAAACUUAUUUAUUCGCCAUGUUUGAUGAAAAUCAAAAGGAUGGACAAUCAAGUGAGCAACAUUUUGGACUCUUUUAUCCAGAUCAGAGGGCAAAGUAUCAACUCAAUUUCAAUUGAUGAUACCAUAUUAUGAUUAAUAUAUAGUGCUAUGAAUAAUAAGGAGAAAUUUGUGUGUCUUUCUCCUCAAUAAAAUGAUAGCACAUACCUCAUAAUUAAUAUGUGUUGACAAAUGUACGGCCUAUUGUGUAACCUUGAUAUCAAUAUAUGUUACAUAUACUUAAAAAUCCAUUUGACUUUAUGUUAUAUUCAACCUGAUUAAGUACCUAGAAUUACUGUGUAAAUAUACAAUUAUAACAAAUUUCUAGUAAUUUAUAAAGAACUUUUAUUUUAUUUACCAAUUUUUAAGACUGUCAAUAGUUUAGAAACAAAACUAAUAAUUUGAACCCAAUCCGGGAGUACUUUCAAUACUUUUCUUUUAACAUUAAAGAAGUACACCCUUUUUUCUUAGUACUGCUUAAUUUUAACAUUGAAAUAACUGAGUAAGGCUGAAAAGAUGGAGACUUGCAGUUUGUACUUGCUGUAUUUGAUGUACAUUGAACUCUAAUUUCAAACAUGGAAACUUUCAAUUUACACUUGAUAUUUUGAUUCAUGGAAGUUUCAAAAAACUAAAAACACUAUAACAUGCAAACAGUUACGUCCUCCAUUUGCUUUUACUUGUCGGGUCCGGAAUCGGGAAUUGGAUCUUAAAUUGGAGUGGGGAGUUGUGUCUUGGAUCAAAGUCGGUGUUAUAGUAUUUGAUCAAAUAUUUAUACCUUAAUGUUCAAUAUUUUCGAAAAAACCCAAAUUUUACUAGCUUGAUUUGGUUUAUAAAUUUAAAAUAUUUUUCACAAAUGGCUUGAUUUGAUAUUUGAAAAACCCGAACCAACCCGGUCAUAUACACCCCUAAUUACAACAAUCAAAAUUCUAUAUACAAUAACUAUUGGGUUCAAAAAAAAAAAAAUUCUAACAAUUAAAUGAGUAGACUUCACAUGUCCAUGUUCUUUGAGAAGAAAAAGUACAAGUUUACCCUUACACUAUUGAGUAUAGUUUAAAAUCAACCAUUUUUUUCUCAUUUUUUUCCCAUCACCUACUCUAGAUUAGAAAUUUCUUCAUCCCCCAUUAGAUACGUUUAUAUGACUAAAUUUCACUAUCAAGUGAACUUCUUCUUAGGGUAAACUUGACUUAGUUUUUUUUUUCCACACUGCUUUUCUUCUUUUUGUCUAUAUAAGAAGUAAUUUGAUGUUUCCUUGACACACAAUUUUACCUCUAAUAUUUCUUACUCUUUUCAAUUCCAAUUUUGCUAUGUCUUUUCAAAGUUUUCUUGUAGCUUCCCUUUUACUUGUUGGUCUGUUAAUCCAAAUGACAGGUCUCUCUCUCUCUUACAUACACACUAAUAAUGUAUUUUUACAUUAUAUAUUAAGAGUAACAUAUUAUAAUAUCAUAGCAGAUUAUCUAUUUUAUUGACUAGGCUAUUGAUCUCAGUUACUAUAAAUAGUUAGGGGUAUUUACUUCUAGGUGACCUAAUAGUAUAACAAUUCUUCUGAUGUUGGUGUAAAUGAGUUUAAAAUUCUAUAAAAAAGCACUUCAUAUUUUUCAAAAUUAAGAGGGUCCUAUUGCCGAGGACAUAAAGGAUGAUAAAUCUACAUAACUAAGCAAAACAUAAUUACUGUAUAUACUUAAUUAAGCGGUACUUAAAUUUUCUUUUUUUUAUCUAUCAUAGCUAUUCUUGGAAUUUUAUAACUAAUCUCUUUUCCCUUUUCUUGUUUUGCUCACCACUCUCCUCUCACAUUUUUUUCUCGCCCUCUCUCUGCCUCUCUACAAUUUAUUGCAUGAAUCUUUCUUCUUAUCCUUAUAUGUUUCUUAUAUAUUAAUACAAAACUCAAUUAAUCUUUACCUGAAUUAUUAAUUUUUAUCUACAUGUGUUUCUUGAUCUUCAAUAUUUUCUAUGUGACUUGCCAAUUAUUGAUUCAUUUUUAUUGGAUUAAUGUCGGUAUAUCAAAAAUUCCCAUUAUGGGUUCUUGAUUUGUUGUUCAAUGUUUGAAUCUCUUAUUCUUCUUAGAUUGAUACAACCAAUUGUAUAUAUGUAUCAGAAAAAAUGAUACAGUUAUUAUCAAAGUGUAUCUUCUUCGAUUGAUACAACCAAUUCUAUAUAUGUAUCAGAAAAAAUGAAACAAUUAUUAUCAAUGUAUAUCUUCUUUAAUAGAUACAUAAUGAUACAUCCAAUUGAUCUACGUAUCAAAAAACAAUAUAAAAAUUGAUAUAGCUAUUAUUUGACUAGAUAUAUAUAAAAAAACUAAUACAAUUAUUAUAAAAAAAAUACUGUAUUUAUAUAUUUAUUUUCGGGAUGAUAUUCAAACAUUGUAUCAAUAUUUUUUAUCAUUUGUAUAUCACAAUAAAUUGAUACAGAUGUGUAUUUAUUUUAAGGGUGAUACAAUAUGUAUAUGCCUAUCUAUAUUUCAAUUUCAAAACUAAUAUGUGCAUUUGAGUAUCUGUGUGCAAGAUUGAGAGAGGAGAAAUGACAGCGAGAUUUGGGAAAGAUAGAGAGAAAGAGAAGAGAUUGUGUAUAUGUGUAUCUUAGUUUCAAUUAAGAUAUACAAGUGGUUUCUAAGAUACAACAUGCUUGCCUCUCUCCUCUAUCUCUCCUGAUCUUGCUUGUCUCUCUUCUAUCACUCUUUAUCCCGCUCUCCUCUUUCCUUUCUUAUUUUGAUGAAUUGUGAAUAGAUAAACAAUACUAUUUAUAAUUAUAGUCCAAACUAUAACUAUUUAUCAUUAUAAUGUAGGAGCACAACCUAUUGGAGUAUGCUAUGGAAAAUUUGCAAACAAUUUGCCAUCAGAUCAAGAUGUCAAAAACCUAUACAAUUCUAAUGGCAUUAAAAAGAUGAGAAUUUACUAUCCAGACACAAAUGUCUUCAAUGCUCUCAAAGGAAGUGACAUUGAAAUAAUUCUUGAUGUCCCAAAUCAAGAUCUUGAAGCCCUAGCCAAACCUUCAAGUGCCAAUGGUUGGGUUCAAGAUAAUAUAAUAAGUAAUUUUCCAGAUGUUAAAUUCAAAUAUAUAGCCGUUGGAAAUGAAGUUGAUCCUGAAACAAAUACCGGUCAAUAUGCACAAUUUGUUGGUCCAGCAAUGAAAAAUGUUUACAACGCGUUAACAUCAGCAGGAUUGCAUGAUCAAAUUAAGGUCUCAACCGCGACAUAUUCAGGGCUCUUAACAAACACCUACCCACCAAGUGCUAGUAUUUUUCACGAAGAAUACAAAAGCUUCAUUAAUCCCAUAAUCGAAUUUCUAGCACGAAAUAACCUCCCACUCUUAGCCAAUAUCUACUCUUAUUUUGGCCAUAUUUAUAACACUAACGACGUUCCUCUUUCUUAUGCACUUUUCAACGAUCAAGGGACUAAUUCCGCGGGAUAUCAAAAUUUUUUUGAUGCCCUUUUGGAUUCAAUGUAUUUUGCUAUGGAGAAACUUGGAGGACAAAAUAUUGAGAUCAUUGUAUCGGAAAGUGGUUGGCCUUCUGAGGGACAUCCUGCAGCAACAUGGAAAUGCACAGACUUAUUAUACGAAUUUGAUUAAUCAUGUGAAAGGAGGGACUGGAACACUAAAGAAACCUGGAAGUACCAUAGAAACUUAUUUAUUCGCCAUGUUUGAUGAAAAUCAAAAGGAUGGACAACCAAGUGAGCAACAUUUUGGACUCUUUUAUCCAGAUCAGAGGGCAAAGUAUCAACUCAAUUUCAAUUGAUGAUACCAUAUUAUAAUUAAUAUAUAGUGCUAUGAAUAAUAAGGAGAAAUUUGUGUGCCUUUCUCCUCAGUAAAAUGAUAGCAUAUCUUAUAAUUAAUGUGUUGACAAAUGUACGGCCUCCUUGGCGUUUCCUUGAUAUGAAAAUAUAUAUAUGUUAUAUAUACUAAGAAAUACAUUUUUAAGAAA